Molecule: ribosomal RNA, 483 nt
Filed under: uncultured bacterium
Lineage: Bacteria
Description: partial 16S ribosomal RNA
Rfam family: Bacterial small subunit ribosomal RNA
Source: RNAcentral
AUUGAACGCUGGCGGCAUGCUUUACACAUGCAAGUCGAACGGCAGCGCGGGCUUCGGCCUGGCGGCGAGUGGCGAACGGGUGAGUAAUACAUCGGAACGUGCCCAGUAGUGGGGGAUAGCUCGGCGAAAGCCGGAUUAAUACCGCAUACGACCUGAGGGUGAAAGCGGGGGAUCUUCGGACCUCGCGCUAUUGGAGCGGCCGAUGGCAGAUUAGCUAGUUGGUGGGGUAAAGGCCUACCAAGGCGACGAUCUGUAGCUGGUCUGAGAGGACGACCAGCCAACCGGGACUGGGGCAAGGCCCCAAACCCUAAGGGGAGGCACAGGGGGGGAAUUUGGACAAUGGGCGAAAGCCUGAUCCAGCAAUGCCGCGUGUGUGAUGAAGGCCUUCGGGUUGUAAAGCACUUUUGGCGGGAACGAAAAGGACUGUGCCAAUACCACGGUUCGAUGACGGUACCCGCAGAAUAAGCACCGGCUAACUACGUG